CAGAUGAGCCCACGUCCGAUUAGCUAGUUGGUGGGGUAACGGCCUACCAAGGCGACGAUCGGUAGCUGGUCUGAGAGGACGACCAGCCACACUGGGACUGAGACACGGCCCAGACUCCUACGGGAGGCAGCAGUGGGGAAUUUUGGACAAUGGGCGAAAGCCUGAUCCAGCGAUGCCGCGUGGGUGAAGAAGGCCUGCGGGUUGUAAAGCCCUUUCGAUGGGGAAGAAAAGCCUGGAGCCAAUACCUCCGGGUCUUGACGUUACCCAGAGAAGAAGCACCGGCUAACUCCGUGCCAGCAGCCGCGGUAAUACGGAGGGUGCAAG
Molecule: ribosomal RNA, 324 nt
Filed under: uncultured bacterium
Lineage: Bacteria
Description: bacterial SSU rRNA
Rfam family: Bacterial small subunit ribosomal RNA
Source: RNAcentral